This is a non-coding RNA of Melampsora americana, 85 nucleotides long. The record is from the annotation of a GenBank genome assembly. Lineage: Eukaryota; Fungi; Basidiomycota; Pucciniomycetes; Pucciniales; Melampsoraceae.
GGUCGAUUAGCUUAGUUGGUAGAGCGUGGUACUAAUAGAUUGCCUAUACAUGCCAAGGUCAUGGGUUCGAGCCCCAUAUGGACCA